CCUGGCGACCAUAGAGACACGGAACCACCUGACCCCAUCCCGAACUCAGAAGUGAAACGUGUCAUCGCCGAUGGUAGUGUGGGGUUUCCCCAUGUGAGAGUAGGUCAUCGCCAGGC
Molecule: ribosomal RNA, 116 nt
Organism: Spongiibacter sp. IMCC21906
Lineage: Bacteria; Pseudomonadati; Pseudomonadota; Gammaproteobacteria; Cellvibrionales; Spongiibacteraceae
Source: Rfam